RNAcentral lists this ribosomal RNA (497 nucleotides) under uncultured bacterium. RNAcentral describes it as "partial 16S ribosomal RNA". It matches the Rfam family "Bacterial small subunit ribosomal RNA", at positions 28 to 507 of the family's 1533-position model. The record is from RNAcentral.
GAUGAACGCUGGCGGCGUGCCUAAUACAUGCAAGUCGAGCGAACAGAUGAGGAGCUUGCUCCUCUGACGUUAGCGGCGGACGGGUGAGUAACACGUGGAUAACCUACCUAUAAGACUGGGAUAGCUUCGGGAAGCCGGAGCUAAUACCGGAUAAUAUAUUGAACCGCAUGGUUCAAUAGUGAAAGACGGUUUUGCUGUCACUUAUAGAUGGAUCCGCGCCGCAUUAGCUAGUUGGUAAGGUAACGGCUUACCAAGGCAACGAUGCGUAGCCGACCUGAGAGGGUGAUCGGCCACACUGGAACUGAGACACGGUCCAGACUCCUACGGGAGGCAGCAGUAGGGAAUCUUCCGCAAUGGGCGAAAGCCUGACGGAGCAACGCCGCGUGAGUGAUGAAGGUCUUCGGAUCGUAAAACUCUGUUAUUAGGGAAGAACAAAUGUGUAAGUAACUAUGCACGUCUUGACGGUACCUAAUCAGAAAGCCACGGCUAACUACGUG